GGACUACUGGGGUAUCUAAUCCUGUUUGCUACCCACGCUUUCGCGUCUCAGCGUCAGUAUCUGCCCAGAGAGCCGCCUUCGCCACUGGUGUUCCUCCCGAUAUCUACGAAUUUCACCUCUACACCGGGAAUUCCGCUCUCCUCUUCAGUACUCCAGCUCCGUAGUAUCAAGUGCACUUCCGGGGUUGAGCCCCGGGCUUUCACACCUGACUUGCGAAACCGCCUACACGCGCUUUACGCCCAGUAAUUCCGAGCAACGUUUGCACCCUCUGUCUUACCGCGGCUGCUGGCAC
Molecule: ribosomal RNA, 292 nt
Filed under: uncultured bacterium
Lineage: Bacteria
Description: partial 16S ribosomal RNA
Source: RNAcentral